This 253-nucleotide ribosomal RNA is filed under the name uncultured bacterium. Its description in RNAcentral is "partial 16S ribosomal RNA". It matches the Rfam family "Bacterial small subunit ribosomal RNA", at positions 524 to 776 of the family's 1533-position model. The record is from RNAcentral.
UACGGAGGGUGCAAGCGUUAUCCGGAUUCACUGGGUUUAAAGGGUGCGUAGGCGGGCAGGUAAGUCAGUGGUGAAAUCCCCGAGCUCAACUUGGGAAUUGCCGUUGAUACUAUCUGUCUUGAAUAUCGUGGAGGUGAGCGGAAUAUGUCAUGUAGCGGUGAAAUGCUUAGAUAUGACAUAGAACACCCAUUGCGAAGGCAGCUCACUACACGAUAAUUGACGCUGAGGCGCGAAAGCGUGGGGAGCGAACAGG